RNAcentral lists this long non-coding RNA (1317 nucleotides) under Cricetulus griseus (Chinese hamster). Its description in RNAcentral is "lncRNA (ENSCGRG00015033438.1)". Lineage: Eukaryota; Metazoa; Chordata; Mammalia; Rodentia; Cricetidae. The record is from RNAcentral.
UUUUGGUUUUUUUUUUUUUUUUUUUUUUUUUGAGAACGGGCCCCUGUGGAUAAGGAGUUUGAAAGCUAACAGCACUAGUGAGACCAGAGGCCAUCUUCGAGCUGGUGGAGCCCAGGAGGACACAGCCCCUUUCUGACCCAAUUCCCUCACAGCCAAAGCCAGAGAGAACGGGAGUGUAACCAAGAGUUACACUUCAAACCCCCCGUCUUUGGACCACUGUCGGGAGUGAGCUGAGCCACUCUCUGUGAAAUUGCGAGAUAGGGACACAAUGCUUCCCGGGGAUGGAGAGCCUUUGUUCCUCGCCUGCCCUUCUUGGAAUGUUCAAGUUCUCCUCCCUCAGUUGUGAUGUGCCCAGUGGAGAAACUCUCUGUCAAGAGGGAAGAGGCUUUGUCCCCUUCCCCGAUGUGAGGGUUCGCUCCCUGCCCCCACAUGAACUCCAGAGAGGAGCCCUCCUUGUUCCUUGUCCCAGCCUCACCUCUCUCAGCAUCAGGGAGAGUGAGCGAGCGCUGCUGUCUGCCAAGGAAAUGAGCUUCUGAGCUCUGAACCCUAAACUUCGGGAGAAGACACGGCUCUGUGAUACCAAAGACUUUCGCUGGCCCUGAGAGUCACCUCUGUGGGUGAGGUCAAACUACAGAAACGCCUGAACUCCUUAGAGGGACCAGAGAGUCCCAAAGGGCAUCUGCUAGCUUGCUGAGGCUGGGUGCUCUGUUCACAGUUAUAAAUGGUGAAGCAGACCUAGCUCUACCCUGUGUCUGGACCCAGAACGGUCCAGCGGUAGGAGCUCUGCACUCAGUGGGCAGUCCAAUGCAGUGUGGGAAGAGAAAAAAGCUACCAAAAAGAAUCCAGCUGUGAGGGAGUUUGGACUACACUACAAAGACGGGAGGAUGCCUGGAAAAGCAGAGUCUUCAGACAGACAGCAUCUUGGAUAUGCCCACCCAAGACAGCCCCUAGCGGAGGGCAGCUAACUGACUAACUAGAGCUACCCCACCCACAGCAGACAAUGAUUUGGAAAAAUGCUAGAUAUCGUUUGGGACUGCUACGCUUUAAGUGAUUUGUUAUGCAGUCAAGAAAAAAAAAAAAACUCUCCAUUUCCUCAACCAUCUCUUUUUUUUUUUUUUUUCACUACAAAAGACUUCGCUGCGGCCGACUAGUGUCAGCGUCCACUGGAUCAUAGCAUGCUCACACCUUCAUGACUAAUGGACAACUUCUGACCUAAGGCAAAGGGCAGUAGUGUGGCUUCAUUCAUUUAGCGCGAGUGCCUUCCUGUGCCAGGAAUAUGCUGGAGCCAGGGAUCUUGUCAUUUAAAAACACAGUCAA